GAUGUCUAAAUUUUUUUUUGCUCUUCUUCAGGACAUCAGCAAAAGAACAUGAAUUACACAGAAAGAGCCAACUAAGAAGGCAACGCUAGCAUCGACCCUAGGAAGAAAACAUGUUGCAAAUGCCAAAGCCUCGGACUAUCUGCAAACGACUACAGGUUUUCCUGUGAGCCGAACCCCUAGCAGACAGCAUGUGGGAGCACCAAGUUCUGCAGUUAGUUACUUGUCUCUCCCCACUUAAAAGCAACUCGGUGCCAUUUACCAACUCAGAGUAUGCAGAGGUCCAGUCCAGCCUAGGAAGGACCCCUCAGUGCCAGGAGGCCAGGAGCCCCAGAGGUAUAGCAAGACCUGGGCCCAUGUAUGUGUCUGUGUCGAUGGUUUGUGGAGAAAUGUAACACUGGAUCAGAGCUGAGCUGAAUAAUAAGAAACACCUUCUCUAUAGUAUUGGUCCCCCCACACUGAUAAGUCCAUCUAUAAGAACUUCCUCCACAAUAUAUCAACCAACAUUGAGGACGGAGAGGCAGGUUUGGGUGUGAAACACAGGUUUUAUUGAGCAUCCUUUCUGUGUUAGAGCAUCUUCUCUGUGUUCCUUAAAUUACUUUUCACAAACUUGUGAGGGUCCUACUAUUACAUAUUUCUUUCUUUUUCCUUUCUUUCUUUUCUUUUUUUGUUUUAACAAAUGAGGAAACAGGCUCAGAGAUUAUCUAAUUUGCCAAGUUUACCUAGCAAUAUAUUUAUUACUCCCCACCACUACUACACAGAUUGUCUUCAGUUAUUUUUAUAUUUUAAAAAAGGUGGAUAGUAAUAUUAUUCCCAUUUUCCAUAUGAGAUAACUGCCCAGAGAGGCUAAGUAACUUGCCCAGAGUCACACAGAUAGUAUUUGAGGAAGAAUUUGAGCUCUUGUGCAUUGUAUAUCAUUGCUUCUUACUAAUAUAUUAUAAUGCAUGAGGAAUUUCAAACACACAGCACACAUACACACAGCAUUCACCGAGAACCCCAAUUUGAUUCAUUUUGAGAAGAGCAUUAGACUCAGAGACAGAACUCAGCUAUAAUCUUUUCUUUUUACCCAAGCUGAUUACAUACUUUGGUCAUAAUAAUUUAAUAUCUCUGAUCUUAUUUUUGCAUUUGCAAAAUGGAGGUUGCCAUGAGGCUUAAGAUGAGAUUAUGCCUGUGAAAGGGCUAUCUUAGUUGUCCAGAGGGCUACCUGCUACUCAAACCCAGGAGGCAAAUGCGUGCACUCUCUCUCUAAGACACCAUUCCUCUGGCACAUUUUGGGGACGGAUGACUUGAGCUCUCACUGUAAGUCAUGUCCCAUUUUCGCUCCAAUCUCAUUCCACUCGGGAAUGUCGGUCUUGCCAAGCCUGGCGUUAUCAGGAGACUGUGGUCAAGAACACAGGUACAAGUAUAUCAGAUGAGAACAUAUGUUUGAACUCAGGCACAGUUUUCACAAAAUGUUGCUUUCUGUUGCAGGCAGGGUAAGAGAAAUCGCCUUUAAAAUUCCCAUUAAAAAAGACUCUCAGGCUCCUCAGACAUCAAAUAACUCUCACAAGACAACAUUUUAAUGAUUUAAGUGUAAAUGAAUCAGAAACACAUGGACUGCAUUUCUUUUGGAAUACACAAAGGUUUUAAAACCAAAGGAGAAAGAACUUGGCAAAAUGCACACAGUGCUGCGCAGAGGGCCCUGCCCAGGAAAGACUCCCUGGAUUCAUGCUGCCUCUGAGCUCGCCCUCCCCGAUUUUAGGGGACACACUGGGAAAUACAAUCAUCUGUUCUGGUUCUGGGCACAGAGGGAAGAGCUUGGAAGAGAAAGUCACCGUUCCCUCUUGUUCUCAAGUGUCAUAGAACAAUUAGGCCUCCCAGAAUAAUUUCCUGGCAGUGUUUUUCCAAGGCUGCCAGUGUUCAAUGGCAGGCAUUUGAAAUAUGUUUGAAGCCAAAGUUCUGCCAAUAUACAGCAGAUCUGAUAUGUGUGCUUCCCUGGGAUUUAGCCAAGACUCAGAGGAAAUCUGCAUGAGAACUGUAACUGGCUCAGUGAGGGAUCUCGGGAGAACCAGCGCAGAUCCACAUUGAGUCAGACGGCAUUUGCGACAGUGUCCGGUGCUUUUGAUGUGAACUCCUGGAUGUCAUUAUCAGAUUGUGGGUGGGGCAGGGGAGGUAUGUAAGGGACCGGGACUAGGAGAAGUGGACUCAGUGUCUGUGAGCUGUGUGUGACCUUAGGAGAGUCAUUUUCUUUCUUGGGGGAGGACAUCAGUUUGCUCAGCCAUCAAAUCCAUGCAUUGGACUCGGCUGAACUUACGGAGCACACUAAUGUGAACUUGAAGGUCGUGCAAGUGUGAAGGAGGCUCAGUGGAUCGUGAGACCACUGAAGAGUCAAGGUAACUUGAGUACCUUGUAUCUUGAGUACUCAAGGUAUCUAGAGUAGUCUUCGUCAUCUUGGCACUUGCUUUUUCUGUGGUCACCAUUCGUUACUCAGAAUUCCUUCAUAGAUAUUCGGGGGAGGGGGGAGAAAUAGCCCUUAAAGGGUUUCAAUGAGUUUUUUUUUUUUUUAAGUUUGAUAAAAAUGGUUUAAAAAUGAAUAUGAGGAACUAAUAGUUUAUUUAGAAUCAUACAAGUGUAUGGUGUUGGAGGUGGCCUGGCUGCUCUUGGGUUACGGUCAGAGGGGGGUUUCAGAGAGCUUACCCCUGUGGAAUACUGCUGCAGCAUUCCCACCACUGGAGGAUUUUGGUUUACAUGUUCUACCAAAGUAUUUAUUUUGUGUAACUCCUGAGUGCAAGUUUCUGGAAUUCCAUGAAUGUGUCCGACAAUGCAAAGAAUUUGGGUGAUAGGUUUUUUGGAAAAGCCCGAGAUCCAGGGCUCCCUAUAGAACAAGCUAAGUAACUGAUAAAUAGAUCCAAAGACCGUAGCUAGAGUUAAACUUUGGGUGGUUCAACAUAUUGACUAACUGUGUUGAAAGUAAUUUAAAAAAUGCCAAUCCUGGAGCUACGUCCCAGGAGAUUUAAAUUCAAUGAAUCUUUGUAGGGCAUCUGAAUCUGCAAUUUUAGAAUCUCCCCUGGUGUGAUUUUGCCAUUUUUGGUAAUGUAACAUAAUGGUACAUCUUAUAAUUGAUGGUGUCUUAGAUUUGAUGAGAUAAUACCUAGUAAUACCACACUCUUUCAUGUAUGUUUUUGCAUGUAAUAGUCACAUCUUUUUACAGAUGAAGACCACAUUGUUCAGAGAAAAUGAGUGUGUCUGUAAAGGAAUGAUCAUUGUCUAGAGUUCAGGCUCCUGAUCCCAAAUCCAAGGUUUUUUCCCCUCAUCUGCAGACUUCUGGUACUUCCUGUGGAAUUUAAAUAUUCAUGAGUCAUGCUGUCAUGGGAUUACACAAUUUUUCAGAGAAGGAAAAAAAAAUAGCUUACAUUUAAAAGAUGAACUCUUAGGCUCUGAUAGGGGCUAAUUAAGCCCCCCUUGAACUCAUAUGUUGACAUCGCAACCCCAGUACCUCGG
RNAcentral lists this long non-coding RNA (3477 nucleotides) under Marmota monax (woodchuck). Lineage: Eukaryota; Metazoa; Chordata; Mammalia; Rodentia; Sciuridae. The record is from RNAcentral.